AACAGACUAAUUGGCGUUUGAGACUGCAUCUGGUUAGCAAGUCUGUUCUGAUCCAGCAUGCAGCCAUGACUGGUUCUGAAUGAAGGCUUUAUCUGGGAGCCACUCUCCCCCUUCGCCUCCUGCUUUGCACUUUCACCGCUGGUUAAGACCUAAAAAUCAUGACUCUGAUCGCUUUUCCUGCUGCUCUGUUAACUGCAGCAGAAAGAAGCAGUGAAAGAAGCAGAACCAGCUCCGCAGAAGACGGGUCUAGACUGAGCUCUGGAUGGACAGAGCUGUGAACGGAUCAUCCACAGCCCAGAUCCUUUCGUUCUCACGUCACGUCGGUUGGUGGAUCAGUGACGGUCCUCAUGUCAGACCAACAGCCUCCGUGGACUAAAGAGCUCCUCUGGUCUCCAAAGUCCAACCAGCGUCUUCCUCAGCUCUUCAUCCACAAACUGCUGCCUGACAGCCUGGAGCUGAACAAAGAUCACCGCAGCUGCUGCUUUGCCUCAGAAGGAAAGAAGGGAAGAUUCUGAGCAGAUGUGGACUUGGUAAUAGUUCACAGCUUCAUAGUCACUUCCCACAUCAGUUCAUAGGCCACAUAGUUGCAUACUUGAAGAAGUGGGACAGAGGCCUUGAUGGUAGCAUUAUGUUUGUGAGGAUGAUGAAGAUGGAGAAGAAGAUCUGCUGUCACAUCCUGAUGGCUCCAAACCAACUGAAGGGAGAAAAUAUUGUCAUAUUUCUGCUGUCAUUGCUGUCAUUAGUCCUCAUUGCCUCUAAAUGAUGUUUCUGAUAGAGAACAAACGGAUUUCUGCAUUCAAAGAUGUUCAGUGUUGGGAUCCUGAGUUUCUUUGACAUAAUCUGGAUUUUGUUCCAGUUCUAAUAGCUUGACUGACGACCUCUGUUUUCUCCAUUGAUCAGGACUGUAGCAACUUCAAAGCUGCAGAUUUACUCUGAUCCAGAACCAGCAAAGCAAACGUGACGUAACUGGUGUAUCUGGAGCUGCUGCCGCCAUGAAAUAUCAUUAAUGUUGUUUAACUGGUGGAGAAAGGCUUGCAGAUCCAGAAUGUGUCAUCAGUGAGCUGCUGAAAAGAUGUCAGGACAAAAACAUUCAUCUGCAUUUCAUAGACGACGCUGCGUAGGAACUUUUCUCACAGAUGCAUGUGAGCAUCUUCCUGAAUGUUUGACUCAAUAUUUCUGUUCAUAUUAAUAAAUCACUGUAUUGUGUUGAUUAGAAAACCAGAGAAGCUCUUCCUAAAGGUUUCUCCAUGGCUGUAGUGGCAUUUCAUGUUUACGGACAAAACUGCUGGCUCAGGUUAUUUUUUAUUUGCUGGGACUAAAACUAUUUAGCCAAAUUGUAGCAGAUGUUUCAUCCUAGGUACAUAGCUGCACAUGAAAAAAUGAUUCACUCCAUUCUUUGUGCCACAGUUUCCAACAAUGUGCUCUGAGCUUUUCUCUUCAUCCCAGAUCAUGUAGAGAACACAAAGGCUGCCUGGAUCUGGCCUAACAGUUUGGAUCCAUUAGGGUUCUGCUAAUGUGGCUCCAUAGAAAGCUGAAGCUGCUCGGCAGCGCCACCUGCUGGUCUCCUAUCCUGAUGGAGACAGAAUGAAGGCUGGAAACCAGAGGAAACAUCCAGAGAACAAAUGUUUCAGAACAAAUGAACAGAGAAAUGUUCCUCUAAGGUUCCCACGUUUCCAUCAGAUGAAUGGUCUCUAAAGCUGCUCUGACUGAACCACACUGACAGUCCAGCUUUUCAUUUUCACUCAGGGAGUUUUAGUGGGAAUCAAGUGAGACACCACCUGCUGAU
This is a long non-coding RNA of Fundulus heteroclitus (mummichog), 1786 nucleotides long. RefSeq lists it as uncharacterized. The transcript is spliced from 3 exons. Lineage: Eukaryota; Metazoa; Chordata; Actinopteri; Cyprinodontiformes; Fundulidae. The record is from RefSeq and is a predicted model, not a curated record.